AACACGGCCUGUCCACUCAAAUAGAUCAUUAAAUCUUCCAUCUCAAGGGCACCCACCCUGAAGGGGGCGUGAGUUUGCACUCAAGCAGCAGACUAGCUAUCCAGGCUACUCGGCAGGUUGUUUGACGUGAAAGCCGUUCUGACACAUGAUGCAGGAUUACUCGUCAUGUUUUGGCCUGAAAACGACUUGAUACGAAGUGUGGACUGAAGCUAACGGAGGCGACAAGGUGACGCCAGCUCGUCCUCGCUGUGCCAACUUUAGAACGUGUCAGUGAAAAGAACAUUCUCCCUUCAAGAAACAUUUCGCGAGACUCUGUAAAGGUUUACCGGCAAAGUAAAAGGCUUCGUCUUUAAGUUAAGCCAACAUUAACUGGCAGUGACGAAUAAACAGCUUGAAGCAUGCCCACAACGGUACAAGUGAGGGUCUUCAUUCCCUUUCAUCAAAGUCACGUUACAAGACAGCAAAAACGCAACAACAGGUAAGAAGGCUGAGUAAUGAUAAAGGCUGCCGUUACCAGCCACUGAUGGACAUGGAGUAAGUCCUCCUCACCAGUAGUCGGCGCUACACUGUAUUUGUCACGUAUCUCUGCCCACAAUGAGCAGUCAUUGUGCUCAUUAAUAAUAAUAAUAAUAAUAAUUAAUAAUAAUAAUAAUCUUUUUUUCUGGACACUCAAAGACA
Long non-coding RNA from Syngnathus acus (greater pipefish), 678 nucleotides. RefSeq lists it as uncharacterized. The record is from RefSeq and is a predicted model, not a curated record. NCBI's taxonomy places the organism in Eukaryota, Metazoa, Chordata, Actinopteri, Syngnathiformes, Syngnathidae. The transcript is spliced from 2 exons.